Molecule: ribosomal RNA, 442 nt
Filed under: uncultured bacterium
Lineage: Bacteria
Description: partial 16S ribosomal RNA
Rfam family: Bacterial small subunit ribosomal RNA
Source: RNAcentral
CCUACGGGAGGCAGCAGUGGGGGAUAUUGCACAAUGGGGGAAACCCUGAUGCAGCGACGCCGCGUGGGCGAAGAAGUAUUUCGGUAUGUUAAGCUCUAUCAGCAGGGAAGUAGAAAUGACGGUACCUGCGUAAUAAGCACCGGCUAAAUACGUGCCAGCAGCCGCGGUAAUACGUAGGGUGCAAGCGUUAUCCGGAUUUACUGGGUGUAAAGGGAGCGCAGGCGGCACGGCAAGCCUGAUGUGAAAGCUCGCGGCCCAACCGCGGGAGUGCAUUGGGAACUAGCGGGCUGGAGUGCCGGAGAGGUAGGCGGAAUUCCUAGUGUAGCGGUGAAAUGCGUAGAUAUUAGGAGGAACACCAGUGGCGAAGGCGGCCUACUGGACGGUGACUGACGCUGAGGCUCGAAAGCGUGGGGAGCAAACAGGAUUAGAUACCCUUGUAGUC